This is a non-coding RNA of Pseudopodoces humilis (Tibetan ground-tit), 3695 nucleotides long. NCBI's taxonomy places the organism in Eukaryota, Metazoa, Chordata, Aves, Passeriformes, Paridae. The record is from RefSeq and is a predicted model, not a curated record.
UGCUGGCAGCAGCCGGGUCCGGGCCACCGCCGGCCCGGGCCGCCCUCCUGGGCGUUGCCGACUUUCAUUUGCGGCCACCUCCGAUCCCUUGGCACCGGUGUUUGUCACUGUCCAUGGCACAGACAGAGACACGCACACACAAGCCCGCACAGCUCGACCGAGCCCCAUCCGGCACCGCCCCGCUCGCUGUCCCCGAUCCGGUGUGUCAAGAGUUUCUUGCCCACGUAACACGGAAAGAACCACCCAUCAACACCAUGGUCACCGUUCGUCUCUUCUGCGCAUACAAAAGCUUCAUUAGUCACAGCCACCAGAAAAGCCUUCAGAGUCUCGUCCUCGCAGCACUGUGAGCUCUGGCUUGGAAGUGGCCCACCCCCUACCCAGUUUCACCCCCUAUGUGGACGAGUCAGCUCAGCCACAAAUAAUAUGUAGGUCUGCUUCCCCCACCAGCUGCUGCUCCAUUUUUCUCUAUAUUUGAUGAAUCGUCUACUUUGACAAAUCAGAACAUAAGGUAGAAUUAUUCAAGGCCUAGAUGAUUUCAGAGGGAAGGAAAACGGAAGCACCAAAGCCCUUGCUGUGGCAGCUGAAAUAACUGUUUCUUGCAGGGAUGUGUGGGGUUGUUCAGCAGGUCGUAGCCGGAAAAGUGCCCGUCACCCUCUCGCUGUUCUUAAGCCUGUGGAUUCUCUGAGUGCCAAGGAAAGCGCAGCAGCAGCAGCAGCAGCAGCAGCAGCCGCCUGUGUAAGGAAACAGUUCAGCCCAUGGCAGAUUUCCUGCCCAGGAGACACCAGGGCAGCCUGUGCUGCUGUCACACUGAGUCAGCUUGGCUGGACUGGCAUCACGUGUAAAAGCAAGGCUUCCAAAGUGCUGCCUGGCACGGCAGUAAUGGAACAGGGGUGAUGAUGAGAUUAUACUGGAAAUAUCAUCUUGUGGCUGUGGCUGCCUCGUCCCAGGAAGUGUUCCAGGCCAGGCUGGAUGGGGUUUGGAGCAAUGUGUGGAAGGUGUCCUUGCCCAUGGUGAGGGGGUGGAAGGCGAUGGUCUUUGAGGUCCCUUCCAUCCCAGACUGUUCUGGGGUUCUAUGAUAAAUAGAGUUCAUGAAGACUGAAUGUCCUGUUCAUGCUGGAUGGAGAGUGAGCUGAGUGGAAUUGAAUGUUUGGCUGAGGAUGCAAUUGUGACAGGCUCCUACAAGAACAAGACCCUUUGUGCCAACCCAGAGGACACGUGUGACUUUAACAGGGCUGCCCACCUGGCCUCAACGCCCUUCCACGGGGUGGUGGCUCAGAGAGUCCCAGCUCCUGCUUUCUCUCAGAGUGAACUGAAGGAGGAAGAUAGUCCAGAAUCCAGGAGUGCACCUCAGACGCAGGAGACACCAGUGUGUGAAGGAGCAUAUAUGAAGCUUGGAAAGUGGCAGAGAUGGACCCCCUUGGAGAGCAGCAGUGUGUCACUAGAGGACAUGGACCAAUUCAUACAAACACGUCUCAGUGGUGUCAUAGAAAAAAGAGAGCUUUUAUUCUCCUGACUCCAGUAUUUAUAGAUUUUUUUGUCAUUGACCAGGGAUUGGAUGAUUGUUAUAAAUUAAAUGCAGCCAAAUUUAUGAAUAAUAAUUUUAUUGAACAAUUUGUAAAUUUUAGUUAUGGAAACAACCACAUCACAGUUAAGGUUGAAGUGUCGAGCCUGGGAUCGGCGCUGGGUGAACUCUGAAUCAGUCUCCAUCGCCCUUAUUCCUCCAAGUUCACCCAGCAAACAACCACUGUCCAGAGAGGUCACGAGCUAGCUCAGGGGCUCUCUGAGAACUCCGGAAGACCAAAAGGACAUCUUCCAAACCGCGGCAAAAAUUUGCUCAUAAAAUCUGAGUGCACGAAGAACCCACGUGAGAAAAAGGCUCCAAAAAGGCAUACCUGACAUCCCCUGAGACAGCCCCUUGGGAUGGAUGUUAGAACACUGGGAGGAGUCCCCUGCAAGAACGAGAAAAUCCAAGGAAAUGAUGGUUCAUUUCUAUGUAGAGCUGUGGGGAGGAAAAGAGAUAUGAAAAUUUGUGGUAUGGCCUGUAUUUGGAACAUUUGAAAAGUGGACGUGUAAGGCUUUGCGCAUGGACGUAGAUAGCAAGCAAAGCAAGGAAGAAGGGGAGAGUGAAUACGCCGAGUUGUGGGAGGGGACGGAGAUUCGGAUGUACCCUGUGAAGACGGAUAAUUCUGCCACAAACCAGGGUGAGAUGUGGGAACCUUUAGACCACCUUCCUCCACCCUAUCUGAUGCCUAUACCACAACCAAGGCAGGCACAGGCGGCGCCACUAACACACCCAACUGAGCUGCUUUUGCCAGCUUCAGCAACGCAAGCCCCUCCAUGGACGGCGACAGCGCCCCCGCCAGAACAGCAGCAAUUAGGGCAAAAAUCACCUCAUACCAACUCUCCCCCAAACACACAGCACCUGAGCUGGACUCGGCAAGCCCUCCCAACUCACUCACUAACCCUCCACCAAACCUGCAGAUAGGGAUCUCCACACCACCAGUUAGGAGAAUGCGUCAAAAGGUAAAAAAGACAAACUGGGAGGACAGUGAAAACGAGGAUGAUAGACACAAUUUGUUCACACUAAAGGGAGUGCUGACUGCCCCAGGUAUUCUCGCAUAUGUACAUGUACCAAUUAAUACCGAAGAUGUAAGAGCAUUCAAAAGGGAAAUGGGGAAACUCAUGGAUGACGUGUUAGGGGUGGCAGACAGGCUAGAUGAAUUUUUAGGCACCAAUAUCUAUACUUAAAAAGAUAUAAUAGCCAUACCACAAUCCUUGUUUAACAAUGAGGAACGAGAGUUAAUAAGACAAGCAGGAAUGGGAAUGGAGGAACCUGCAUGAUAUUCCAGGGGAACAAAAAUGGCCAAACCAGAGACCAACCUGGAAUGCCCAAAUAGAAGAAGGGAGACAGAGCAUGAUUGACUUAAGGAAUAUGGUAAUCCCAGGGGUCAGGGAAGCAGUUCUGAGGGGUCAAAACAUCAGUAAGGUAUUUGGAGAAUGUCAAAAAAAGGAUGAAACCCCGACUGAAUGGUUAGAAAGAUUGAGAAAGGGUUUGCAAAUGUACUUGGGAACCAAUCCAAAUUCUCCGAUAGGAGAAGUAUUAUUAAAAACCCAGUUUGUGGGAAAGGCAUGGGAGGAUAUUAGAAGAAAGCUGGAGAAAAUAGAUAACUGGUAAGAGAAAGAAUUACAAGAGCUACUCAGAGUAGCACAGAAGGUGUGUAUGAGAAGAGGAGCAGCAGAAAAUACAAGCAAAAGUGCUAGUGACUGCAGUCUGAAAAGCACAAAAACAAGAACGUCCCCCUGAACCAGAGAAACCAGCAAAAGACAAUAUUCAGGGACACCAAGUGCCCCAGAAGAAAAAGGACCUCAGCUAUCGGAUGGCUCACAUAUUGUGUCACUACUGUGAGAAAAAAGGAGAUCUAGUGAGCAGUUGUAAACAAAAAGAAAUAGACCAAAAAAUGUUCCAGGAAGAUUAGCAGGGCCAGGAGCUUUUUAUUUUAGGGUCCAGAAGAUCAAGAGAGCCCUUGGUGAAAAUAAACGUAGGACCCAAAAAGGAAGUCAUGGAGUUCCUUGUGGGCUCUGGGGCUGAAAAAAGUACAUUUAAAAAAUUGCCACUGGGCUGCGUAAAAAGCAAGGAAACUAUAACUGUAACUAGGGCAAAAGGGGAACCGUUCAAGGUUCCAGUGGUAAAGGAC